ACGCGUACCCAUACCGAACACGACCGUUAAGCCUUCCAGCGCCGAUGGUACUUGGACCGCAGGGUCCCGGGAGAGUAGGACGUCGCCAAGC
Molecule: ribosomal RNA, 91 nt
Filed under: Paenibacillus glucanolyticus
Lineage: Bacteria; Bacillati; Bacillota; Bacilli; Caryophanales; Paenibacillaceae
Source: RNAcentral